RNAcentral lists this ribosomal RNA (253 nucleotides) under uncultured bacterium. RNAcentral's name for it is "partial 16S ribosomal RNA". It matches the Rfam family "Bacterial small subunit ribosomal RNA", at positions 524 to 776 of the family's 1533-position model. The record is from RNAcentral.
UACGUAGGGUGCAAGCGUUAAUCGGAAUUACUGGGCGUAAAGCGUGCGCAGGCGGCUUUGCAAGACAGGUGUGAAAUCCCCGGGCUUAACCUGGGAACUGCGCUUGUAACUGGCAAGCUUGAGUGUGGCAGAGGGGGGUGGAAUUCCACGUGUAGCAGUGAAAUGCGUAGAGAUGUGGAGGAACACCGAUGGCGAAGGCAGCCCCCUGGGCUAACACUGACGCUCAUGCACGAAAGCGUGGGGAGCAAACAGG